AGACCCGAAACCCGGUGAUCUAGCCAUGGGCAGGUUGAAGGUUGGGUAACACUAACUGGAGGACCGAACCGACUAAUGUUGAAAAAUUAGCGGAUGACCUGUGGCUGGGGGUGAAAGGCCAAUCAAACCGGGAGAUAGCUGGUUCUCCCCGAAAGCUAUUUAGGUAGCGCCUCGUGAAUUCAUCUCCGGGGGUAGAGCACUGUUUCGGCUAGGGGGCCAUCCCGGCUUACCAACCCGAUGCAAACUGCGAAUACCGGAGAAUGUUAUCACGGGAGACACACGGCGGGUGCUAACGUCCGUCGUGAAGAGGGAAACAACCCAGACCGCCAGCUAAGGUCCCAAAGUCAUGGUUAAGUGGGAAACGAUGUGGGAAGGCCCAGACAGCCAGGAUGUUGGCUUAGAAGCAGCCAUCAUUUAAAGAAAGCGUAAUAGCUCACUGGUCGAGUCGGCCUGCGCGGAAGAUGUAACGGGGCUAAACCAUGCACCGAAGCUGCGGCAGCGAACGUAUCACCCAAGACAACUUUACGGAGUUGACGAUUGACGGAGCGAAGCGACGUCAAAGCGUUCAUUAAAGUCGAGUUGGCUUAGGGAUACGUUCGUUGGGUAGGGGAGCGUUCUGUAAGCCUGUGAAGGUGUGUCGUGAGGCAUGCUGGAGGUAUCAGAAGUGCGAAUGCUGACAUAAGUAACGAUAAAGCGGGUGAAAAGCCCGCUCGCCGGAAGACCAAGGGUUCCUGUCCAACGUUAAUCGGGGCAGGGUGAGUCGACCCCUAAGGCGAGGCCGAAAGGCGUAGUCGAUGGGAAACGGGUUAAUAUUCCCGUACUUGGUGUUACUGCGAAGGGGGGACGGAGAAGGCUAUGUUGGCCGGGCGACGGUUGUCCCGGUUUAA
RNAcentral lists this ribosomal RNA (887 nucleotides) under Salmonella enterica. RNAcentral's name for it is "partial 23S ribosomal RNA". It matches the Rfam family "Bacterial large subunit ribosomal RNA", at positions 711 to 1515 of the family's 2925-position model. The record is from RNAcentral. RNAcentral also lists the same sequence under 1 other name. Lineage: Bacteria; Pseudomonadati; Pseudomonadota; Gammaproteobacteria; Enterobacterales; Enterobacteriaceae.